UACGGAGGGAGCUAGCGUUGUUCGGAAUUACUGGGCGUAAAGCGCACGUAGGCGGCUUUGUAAGUUAGAGGUGAAAGCCCGGGGCUCAACUCCGGAACUGCCUUUAAGACUGCAUCGCUUGAAUCCAGGAGAGGUGAGUGGAAUUCCGAGUGUAGAGGUGAAAUUCGUAGAUAUUCGGAAGAACACCAGUGGCGAAGGCGGCUCACUGGACUGGUAUUGACGCUGAAUAGCGAAAGCCAGGGGAGCAAACGGG
RNAcentral lists this ribosomal RNA (253 nucleotides) under uncultured bacterium. Its description in RNAcentral is "partial 16S ribosomal RNA". It matches the Rfam family "Bacterial small subunit ribosomal RNA", at positions 524 to 776 of the family's 1533-position model. The record is from RNAcentral.